Molecule: ribosomal RNA, 189 nt
Filed under: uncultured bacterium
Lineage: Bacteria
Description: partial 16S ribosomal RNA
Rfam family: Bacterial small subunit ribosomal RNA
Source: RNAcentral
CCUACGGGAGGCAGCAGUGAGGAAUAUUGGUCAAUGGACGGAAGUCUGAACCAGCCAUGCCGCGUGCAGGAAUAAGGUCCUAUGGAUUGUAAACUGCUUUUAUUCGGGAAUAAACCUUUCUACGUGUAGGAAGCUGAAGGUACCGAAGGAAUAAGCACCGGCUAACUCCGUGCCAGCAGCCGCGGUAAU